Molecule: small nucleolar RNA, 78 nt
Organism: Gambusia affinis (western mosquitofish)
Lineage: Eukaryota; Metazoa; Chordata; Actinopteri; Cyprinodontiformes; Poeciliidae
Gene: SNORD26
Rfam family: Small nucleolar RNA SNORD26
About the family: U26 is a member of the C/D class of snoRNA which contain the C (UGAUGA) and D (CUGA) box motifs. U26 is encoded within the U22 snoRNA host gene (UHG) in mammals and is thought to act as a 2'-O-ribose methylation guide for ribosomal RNA.
Source: Ensembl
CUGCAGUGAUGAAUCUUUUUGAACUCUCUCUUACCGAAUCAACCUUUGAAGAAACCCCUUUACCAGAUUCUGAGUAGC